RNAcentral lists this long non-coding RNA (984 nucleotides) under Mytilus galloprovincialis (Mediterranean mussel). The record is from RNAcentral. Lineage: Eukaryota; Metazoa; Mollusca; Bivalvia; Mytilida; Mytilidae.
GUUGUCCAUUUUGUAAUGGUGAGUAAGAGGUGAAAUAUAUUUAUUAAAGACAAUGUACCUGCAUGCCUUUUUAAUGGUGUGGAUGGAUUUCACAUAAUACGAGACUAAUAGGUUGGGAUGGUUGGGGGGGGGGGGGAUAAAGAAAUUGAGAAAAAUUGACCCCCAAAAAAUAGAGAAUAUAGUGCAUAAAAUUAAAGACACAGAUAACUCUUUAUAUUCAAAGUUAACAAAAAUCCAAAUACGAAGUUUCAAGGGGACUGAACAAAACAUUCACAUUUCAACAGAUUUUUUCAAUUUAAUGUUUAACCUUUCAUUUAUAUACAUGAUGUGGACAGUAGUAUAUAAAAAAAUGUGGGAUGAUACGCCAAUUAGAAAUCUUUAUAAGCCGCACAACAAAAUGACACAGUCACACGUACGGGCUUCACAAUGAACAUGCCCAUACAAUACAGUAAGUAAAGGCCGCGGAUACAACUGUAAAUAAUUUCAAACGAGAAAUUAAUCGAAUCUAUUUAUGUACAAAAUAUAUACCAGCAACAAACGAAGUGUUGUAAACUUGACUUCUAUUGUUUCACUUUUUGUACAAUUAUAGACUAUAAUUUUUGAUAAAUCAAUCCAUAGUUUGAUUUUCAAAUCUCAAAUAAUAACUGAUGAGGAAAAUUUCCAACCCUAUUAUCUAUGAUGAGUUUACUAUUAGACACAUUUUUCUUCAGGGCUGUUCAUUGUUACCACAUGAGAAAAACGUAGUUAUAUAUCAUUUUGUUUUAGGUACAUGUGUCAAUGGAGGGAGAGUUUUCAGAGAUGACGAACAUUUCACAUGCGAUGAUGGAUGUAAUGGAUGUACCUGCCACUCUACCACACUUAUGAUGUGUUACAUGCAGGAACCUCCAGAAUUAUGCAAAGGUUAUAAGGAACAAAAACGAAACACUUUGAGAGAAAUACUAGAAGAAUGAAUAUCUCGUUAAUCCUGUUAUCAUAUUAUUGUUU